UUUUUUUUUUUUUUCAACUAUUUUUCAUGGAGAAAACCUCAGCUAUUCUUUCAAAGCAGAAAUAAAACCGAGGUGGUAAACAUUAAAUCAGCUCUAUAGAGUAUACCUUCCCUUCUAAAUUAGUUAAGAGGAUAUGACACUGAGGCUUAAUGAUCAAACAGCCCUGGAGGCCAGUCCUCUCACUCUGCUGAUUCUGGUUGAGCUCUGACACUAUCAAGGGACUCUCCCUCUCAGCUACAGCCCCAACUCCUUCACGUUAGAGUGUCAAUCUGGUUAGAAAUAAAACAUUUGGGAGUUUCCUGGUGGUCUAGCUAGCAGUUAAGGAUCCUGUGUUGUUACUGCUGUGGUGUGAGUUUGAUCCCUGGCCAGGGGAUUUCUGUUUGCCACAGAGAGGGAAGAAGGAGGGGGGAGGGGAGGGAGAAAGGGAGAAAGAGAGAAAGUAUAGAAGGAAGGGAGGAAGAAGGAAAAAAAAAAAAAAAACACUCAAAGAAAGGGAAUAACAAGUUUUUUCUUACACAUAAGGAAUACUGCAAAUUCCCCAAGCUACAUACUCUGGCAGGUUCCUGAAAGGGUACAACCCACAACUUCUCCCUCCCUACACCAGCCCUGCCCUGGGAAUGACCCCCUACCCACCCAGAGGGUGCUGAAAUAUAGCCAAAACUGGAGUUUCUUUUCUCCCAAAGACCAACUGCCAAAAACAACUGCCAUGAGACCUUUGGGCUCCAAAAUUCCAACUACUAUGGCCUCAAAGCCAGCAACCUACUAAAGUUUUUCUACAGAAGACUUAUUAAUCUUUACUCAAUUCAGCACCAAUGAGAUUAGGCAGUAAGGCCCCAAAAGGCUUCGUUCCACAUCCACCCAUGUCCUAAAAUGCCAACACCGAUGGCCAAGAGGUGCAGGGCUGCCUUUGUCAUCCUUCUCUGCUCCAGGAGCAGCUGGCUUCAGGUUACACAUUGUUCCUUGCCCACCAGUGGGUUUUCUAAAACUCUUGCCCAAGUUCUUAUAGGCGUAGGUCUACUGCUACUUGACAUGCUGGCUCUGGUACAUAGUGCACAGAGGCAAAUGCUUUGGUUUGCUCCACAUCCUGAAAUCUAACAUCUGAGAGAACCCAAGGGCUCCCUAGGGGAUACUUUUGGGUGCUACUCACUGCCUGGCCCUCCUGUCCACUAUGGCUUAGGCAGGUCUAACUCCAGGGAAGCCACCCUCAUGAGGAAUGCCCCCCACCCUCUCGUGAACUCGGGGACCUCUGUGCCUGCAGCCACCACUCAGGACCACUCAGUGCCAUGUAUGACCAAGUGCUCUACGUGCAUCUCACACUCUUUGGCUUCCCCUUUGGGGUAUAGACUGAGAAUAUUACCUUCAGAAAUAUCAUUCACUUUGGGACAGGGAAAAGGGAAUGUAUUUUGUUCAAUUUGAAUACUUGUUUAAUCUAGAUUCUGGACAUCAGACAUAAAGAUGUUGUUAAAGGUCCUUAACUAAGCACCACAUGUUUCACGAAAACAUCUAACCAGAAGCUCCAGAGCACCUCAGAUCACAGGAAUUCAAUAAAUAUCAUGCUGGGAUGACAUCAGGAGGGCAACCUGACUGCCUUCCUCCUAUGGGCAAUUUAACCACUUGCUCACAUUAAUGCUCAAUCCCUGUAACAGCUAGUGACAAGCACUGAUGUACAACAGUGAAAGUGGAUCAGAUCUUUGCCAUCAUGAAGAGUGUGGCUCCAGAAGAGGAAGCUAUCAAAAAUCAGACAGUGAACAAAACUUGUAUCCUUUUUACUGCAACCCAACUGGAUAGAGUAGCGUUUGGGGUGGGUGAAGGCAGGAAAAUCUGUUUACCUCAUUUUUCAGUCAUCUAGAUAAUUCUGAGAAGAAAGCAGAAAAUCUACAGACAACGUAAUCAUUACUUAAGCUCCUCUCCCACUGAACCCUCAAGCUGUUUAUAAAUGGACAUACUGCAAGAGUUUAAUUUCACCAAAAUUCCCGCUCACCUUGUAUUCUGGGUGUUAAAAGAGCAGUGAAAUGGGAGUUCCCUGAUGGCCUAGUGGCUAAAGGAUUUGGCAUUGUCACUGCUGUGGCUGGGGUCUGAUCACUGGCCUGGGAACUUCCGCAUGUCUCAGGUGCGGCAAAAAAGGAAAAAGGGAGGGAGAUAAUAAAAUGGCUAAACAGCUAAGGGGAAAGAUUCAUGGGAUUCAAAUAAACAACAAAACUGGGUAACCUAGCCUCAAGGGAGGAUUAUUCCUUGUAGAUAUUUCAACCAGGCCAGGGGCUGGACUCCCUGGGCAAAGCGAGUGCAGAGGAGCGAAGUGAGAGCCACAAGCUCCCAUGUGCCAAAUUCCUGACAUCAAGACCUGGAGGAUUUGGCCAAGAACCAUAAGAAUUGGAGCAGGAAGAGCAGCACCGGGGCAGGAGAAAUGGACAAAUGGUGCCAUGCUUAGGGCUGGAGGAAGUGUCUUUCCGAAGAGCUUUGAGAUAUGACUUACAUACCCUGAGAGUCAUCUGUUUUUAAGUGCACAAUUCAGUGAUUUUUAGUAAAUUUACCAAGCUACGCGACCAUGGCCACAGCACAGUUUUGGAAGAGUUGCUCUAAUCUAAGGGGAGGUUUUUAAUAACUUCCAGAUCUGAGUGCGACAGUUUUAGUCAGGGUUACCAGGCUGAUGAACAGAAGGCCGUGCUUCAGCCAACGCAGCAGCAUGACUGACACUUGGAGCAGCCACGGAAAGGAAGCCACAGCCAUCUUCCUCCACAUGAAAAGCUGGGCUUCACCUGUGAGACCUGGAAACUCAUACUAUUUUCUUAAAAAGUAACUAAUGCUAAGAACAGUGCUUUCCAUACUAAAAGGAAGAAUCCGUUACCCUGUUUACAUUUCCUGGCACCUGCCCACAACCUCUCAGCAGUGCUGGUGCACAACUCUCUGCUCCCAGUGGCAGAUUUGGAGUACUGGAGCUGAGGACUCAAAAACACUCCAGUUAAACCUUGAAACAUGCAUUGUCCCUUUGUCCUGACAGCUGUUAUGCUAUGUCGGUGUAAAGAACCAGAUCAUGAAUCUCAAAUCUAAUAAUUUUCCAAAUCACUGCUCAAACAAAAGAAAUGAAAUUUAUGGGAAAAGAUGCUCUGGACUCUAAAACAUAAAUGCAUAGGCAUCUUAAAGCCAUGUUACCCAUGGGAUUAUAGGGUUUUACAUCCUAUAACAUUUUGAGAUUGAUGUUAGCCAACAGUUGUCAAUUUUUCUCCCUAUGUAGAUGUGAGCAAAAGCAGCAAUAAAGGGUCAGUGGUGUCAGAAAAUCAGAAAAGGGUAGUGGACUGAAGAUCUAUAGCAUCCCCACAUACACGACUGACUGCCUAGAAGUGUGCCCCCUGCCCUGAGUCCGUUCUGUGGCCCUCACCUUCAGGGCUCUAGGAUGUCCAUGUCCUCCUAUGGACAGCCUGGCUUGGAGAGGGAGCAAUAUGACUAAUAGCAACCUAAAGCCACUCUGACAAAGGACAAAGGACUAGACAUCGGACUCUCCUCUCCUGGUUUCUUCCAGAUGGUGCUCUGGCUUCUGCCACCCUGAUGGCAUGUCUGUCCUUGGCCCUCCUUCUGUUUCAUUCUCCAUCUUCUUUCUAACGCUGCCCAGGCAUCUCCAUCAGAGUAUGUUGGGGCACCUGCAAGUCACGUUAAUCAGAAAUGAGCUCUUCAGGCGUUCCCGCUGUGGCGCAGUGGUUAACGAAUCUGACUAGGAACCAUGAGGUUGCAGGUUCGAUCUCUGGCCUCACUCAGUGGGUUAAGGAUCCGGCGUUGCCGUGAGCUGUGGUGUAGGUUGCAGACGCAGCUCAGAUCCCGCGUGGCUGGGGCUGUGGGUGUAGGCUGGCAGCUACAGCUCUGAUUGGACCCCUAGCCUGGGAACCUCCAUAUGCCGCAGGAGCAGCCCUAGAAAUGGCACAAAGACAAAAAAAAAAAAAAAAAAGAAAAAAAAAAAAAAAAAAAAAAAAAAAAAGAAAGAAAGAAAAGAAAAGAAAUGAGCUCUUCACAUGCUCUCCCAAACUUGUUCCUUGUCCUGAAUCGCAACCCAAGUAAAACUGCUACCCACUCAAGCCAGAGUCCCAGGGGUUGGCCUCCACAUCUGCCCUAUUUCCCACUUUCUUCUCAUUGCCCCCAAAAUGGGAGGUAGGGACUACACUGUGCAGAGCUGCAGGGAACACAAAACAUACAGAUAUGCUGCCACCUGUUCUCCCAAAAUCUCUCUCCACACAGCCCCUCCUUUCCAACCUCAUUGCCCUGAACUUCAUUAUCUCUACUGGACUCUACCUAGAUCUCCUCAAUGGAGAUGCUGCCUCAAAGGUGGUGUUUUUUAUUUUUUCUGGUAAAAACAAAAACAAAAAACCAGAUAGAUAGAUAGAUAGAUAGAUAGAUAGAUAGAUAGAUAGAUAGAUAGAUAGAUAGAUAGAUAGAUAGAUAUAGAAAGAAAGAAAAAAAAACAAACGUCAUUUUUAUGUGAGUGGUAAUUCAGUGGCAUUAAGUACAUUCACAAUGCUAUAUAACAAUCACCACUACCCAUCUCCAAAACUUUUCCCCAAUAUAAACUCUGUUCUUGUUAAAUAAUAAUGUCCCAAGUCCCCCUUACCUGUCUCCCCUGCUAAUCUCUAUUCUACUUUCUGUGUCUAUGAAUUUGCCUAUGCUAGGUAACUUAUAAAAGUGGAAUCACAUAAUAUUUGCCCUUUUGUGUCUGGCCUCUCACUUAGCAUCAUGUUUUCAAAGUUUACUGACAUUGUAACAUUUCUUUUCAUGACUGAAUAAUAUUCCACUGCAUGUAUAUGUUCCUCAGUAGACACCUGGGUUGUGUCAACCUUUUGGUUACUGUCAAUAAUGCUGCCAUGAACAUGGGUGUUUGAGUUUGUAGACCCUGUCUCAGGUUUGAAACUCUAAUUCAUAUACUGCAUUUCUUCCAAAGUGAGCUUUCUAAACAAAUUCAAUCACUAUCUCCCCCCGCCGCCGUUUACACAUUCUGAAAGACACCAUUUCACUGACAGACUAAAUUCUUCGGCUGUUGGCAGCACCUGCUUUGCCUCCGUCCUCCUCACUGCCUGCCUGCCGACAAACCCUCCACAGUUCGCCACAUCUCACUUUACUACCUACAACAUGCUCCCCCCCCCCACCAUGAACACCAUGAGUCCCCCUGGUCUUCUCUGAAGCAAAGUGAACAGCAGCUAUGAACCGAUUUCACCCACCUAGUGGGACUUCAGUUUCACAACUCCUCUGCGCCUUCUCUAUACAACUCUGGCCCUUUCUUCUCUAGGUACAGACCUUUCCUCUGUUCCCCAGCUCCUCCCACUAGACUAUGCUCCUGGAAGGGAGCAAGGGUCUCUUAAUCAGGUUUCUAUCCCUAACAUUUAGCAGAGUGCCAGACCCACAACAGACAUUCAGAUCUCUAUGGAAUUUUUUUUUUUUUUUUUUUUUUUUUUUUUGGCUGCACCUGGGGCAAUCAGUUUCUGGGCCAGAGACAGAAUUCGAACCACAGCUGUGACCUACACCACGGCUGCAGCAAUGCUGAAUUCUUUAACCCACUGUGCAGGCUGAGGAUCUCACUCGACCUGAGCCACUGCCGUCAGAUUCUUAACCCACUACACCACAGUGGGAACUCCUCUAUGGAAUGAAUUUUUGAUUUAUGAGUAUGCUCAAGAUAAGUUGUAUUUUUAAAAAGCAGUAGAAAUACUUGUGAGUUCAAUAUUUUAUUUUUAAAACCACAUAUAAGUUGUGUUGCUAACUUCCAAUCUUACAACAUAUUAAUUCCCCAAGAAAGGAGCAAUAAAUAACCACAUUUUCCCCCAAAAGUUUCUCACUUCAAACAUGCCUGAGCCCUCAUGUGUUACACUUCUGAAGGAAUACACCUCCUUAAAGCCAAAGGGCUACUUGUAACCAAGAAAAGCAUAAGAUUUAUACAAAGAAUAGGCAAAGGAUCUAUACAAACCAAUGAGAAACAGACACCCAAUGAAAAAUGAGCAAAAUAUCUGACUAGGUAUUUUACAAAAGAAGACGUUCAAACUGCCAAAAAGCAUCCAAACAGGUGCCCAAUGUCAUUACUUGUCAAUAAAAUGUCAAUCUGAACCACAAUGAGAAACUACUGCAAACCCAUCACAAUGACUAACAGCCAGACACUGUUAGAGUGUAAACUGUACAACAACUUUGGAAAACUAUUAAGUAGUAGCUCUUGAAGAUGAAUAUACAUCUACCAGAAAACUCAGAAAUUCUACUCUUGAGGAAUAUAUCCAAAAGAAAUGAAUGUCAAUGCUGGCCAAAAGACAAGUACGAGAACGUUUAUAGCAUUUUACACACACACACACACACACACACACACACACACACACACACACACAGCAUUAUAGUUCAUAAUACUCCAAGAUGCAAACAACCCAAAUAACCAAAAAUAGCAUAAUGAAAAAUAAGAUACAGCAAUGGAAUACUAUGCAGCAGUAAAAACAAAUAGCUACUGCAGCUUGCAGCAACAUGGAUGAAAUGCACAGAUCAAUGUUGAAGCAGAAGGCAUAGUGACACAAAAGAGAGCACAGUGCCUGGCUCCAUUUACAUAAAGGUCAAGCACAAACACAAUUCAAAUCUGCAGUGUGGAGAAUGACGGCUGGGGGUGUGGUGGAAGUGUUACUGUGUGGGAAGGGGCAAGAAGGAGCCUCUGGGGUCUUGAUCUGGAUGGUGUCACACGCUGUGCUAGACAGUGCUGCAUCAGCUUAGCCAAGCUGGGAACUGUGUUUCCCAGGUCCUCUGAGUGCUGAGUUACAACUGGCUAAAAACAACUCAAGUGAGGUGUGGAAGGUGGGCUUGAAGCAGUGGCCACUCCGCUUCAAAGGUCUCAGCAGUUAGAUGUGAUGGACAGAGAGCGACGUCAGUGGAGUCAAGCUUGUCCCUGCUCUUCCCUAUGCCCCACCCUGCUCUCCCUCCCCACUGCCAACCCUGCUGACCCUCAACAGCCCAGACCCACCAUCAGACCCUUGAUGGACCUGACUGGAAGCAGCUCUCCAAGAGAUCUGACCUGUCCAUCCACACUGAUGCUUCAGGCAGACUGCUGCGUGACUCCUCCUUGACAUCCAACCCCUGAUCUGGACCUUCGCUGCUCCAGCUGUUCCCCACAAUUGGGAAAGGUCUAAUUUCUGUAAUAAAUCCCUUAUCCCCCAGCCGAACUCUGUUGGAUAUAUAGAGAUGUUUACAUGUAUACAUGAGUUGUAUAUUUAAGAUCUGUGCACUUUAAAAACAUACAUAAUAUCAUAAUUUUUUUAAAAAUCAUAAUUUUUUUAAAAAAAAAAAAAAAAAAAAAAAAAAAACCCAAAAAACAAAAAAUGGCAUCUCUUCCAGGUUUUAAGAGAACAGUAAUGUGAGGGGCACCUAGCAGCACACACCAAUGGAGCCUAUGCUAUGCCCCUCACACCAAGGAAGAACCAGACACAGUACCACUUGACUAAAGCCUGGCAGACACCUGGGAGCCCAGUGCCUGGGCCCAGGGAGUGGGUUUAUGGACAACAAAGAGGACAUGUGCUCCCUGCCUGGCAAGCUGUUCCAUAGUCCGGAGCUCCUGAAGGGUCAGGCUCACCAUAGUCAGUGUACUUGAAUGCAGGUGAGUUUGGAGUCUCAAAUGGGCAGAAAGGGACCUGGGGGGAGGGCAGAGAUGAGUCACAGGUGCAGCCUGUGGAUGGAGAACCUGCACUCUGGUGGUGCUGCAGCGGUCUCAGGUGCAGACACUCCUCCGCACCCAGGUACCUCCACAACAGUCAGUGCAUAUCUGGGCAUCCCCAAAGCAGCGGUCUUCCAGAAGACCACCGUGUCUUGCUACCUUUUUACUCCAUUCAGCAAAUCAUUUACUGAACGUGUGGUAUAUAUGUCAGGCCCUGCACUUAGCGCUGAAUUUAUGCUGGCGAAUAAAAACACAGUAACUACCCUUGUCUGGUGGAGGAUAUAGACAAUAAACAAAUGAGCAAACAAGCAUACACAGCUGACCUUUGAACAACGCAGGUCUGGACUGUGUGGGUCCACUCACACACAACGUUUUUGAAUAGUAAAUACUACAGUGCUACACGUCCUGUGGUCAGUCGAAUCCACAGAUACCAAAGAACCAUGGAUCAGAGGAGGGAUAACUAUAAACCAUACGUGUUGUUCAAGGGUCAACUGUAAUUACAAA
RNAcentral lists this long non-coding RNA (8152 nucleotides) under Sus scrofa (pig). Its description in RNAcentral is "lncRNA (ENSSSCG00005002886.1)". The record is from RNAcentral. Lineage: Eukaryota; Metazoa; Chordata; Mammalia; Artiodactyla; Suidae.